UACGUAGGGAGCUAGCGUUGUCCGGAAUUACUGGGCGUAAAGGGUGCGUAGGCGGCGAUGUAAGUCAGAUGUGAAAUCCCCGGGCUCAACUCGGGUUCUGCAUUUGAAACUACAUUGCUUGAGUGCAGGAGAGGAAAGCGGAAUUCCUAGUGUAGCGGUGAAAUGCGUAGAUAUUAGGAAGAACACCAGUGGCGAAGGCGGCUUUCUGGACUGUAACUGACGCUGAGGCACGAAAGCGUGGGGAGCAAAC
This 250-nucleotide ribosomal RNA is filed under the name uncultured bacterium. RNAcentral describes it as "partial 16S ribosomal RNA". It matches the Rfam family "Bacterial small subunit ribosomal RNA", at positions 524 to 773 of the family's 1533-position model. The record is from RNAcentral.